This 169-nucleotide ribosomal RNA is filed under the name uncultured bacterium. RNAcentral's name for it is "partial 16S ribosomal RNA". It matches the Rfam family "Bacterial small subunit ribosomal RNA", at positions 118 to 286 of the family's 1533-position model. The record is from RNAcentral.
UGAGUAACCUGCCCUUAACUCUGGGAUAAGCCUGGGAAACUGGGUCUAAUACCGGAUAUGACUCCUCAUCGCAUGGUGGGGGGUGGAAAGCUUUAUUGUGGUUUUGGAUGGACUCGCGGCCUAUCAGCUUGUUGGUGGAAGUACGGCUCACCAAGGCAACGAGUGCUGC